Molecule: ribosomal RNA, 504 nt
Filed under: uncultured bacterium
Lineage: Bacteria
Description: partial 16S ribosomal RNA
Rfam family: Bacterial small subunit ribosomal RNA
Source: RNAcentral
AUUGAACGCUGGCGGCAGGCCUAACACAUGCAAGUCGGACGGUAGCACAGAGAGCUUGCUCUCGGGCGACGAGUGGCGGACGGGUGAGUAAUGUCUGGGGAUCUGCCCGAUAGAGGGGGAUAACCACUGGAAACGGUGGCUAAUACCGCAUAACGUCUCAAGACCAAAGAGGGGGACCUUCGGGCCUCUCACUAUCGGAUGAACCCAGAUGGGAUUAGCCAGUAGGCGGGGUAAUGGCCCACCUAGGCGACGAUCCCUAGCUGGUCUGAGAGGAUGACCAGCAACACCGGAACUGAGACCCGGUCCAGACUCCUCCGGGAGGCAGCAUUGGGGAAUCUUGCACAAGGGGCGCAAGCCUGAGGCAGCCAUGCCGCGUGUAUGAAGAAGGCCUUCGGGUUGUAAAGUACUUUCAGCGGGGAGGAAGGCGGUGAGGUUAAUAACCUUGCCGAUUGACGUUACCCGCAGAAGAAGCACCGGCUAACUCCGUGCCAGCCGCCGCCGUAA